UUCGAUGCAACGCGAAGAACCUUACCUGGGCUUGAACUGCAGGCGUAGUCGCUUGAAAGGCGGCGAACUCCUUCGGGAAGACCUGUAGAGGUGCUGCAUGGCUGUCGUCAGCUCGUGUCGUGAGAUGUUGGGUUAAGUCCCGCAACGAGCGCAACCCUUGCCAUUAGUUGUCAGCGAGUCAUGUCGGAUACUCUAAUGGGACUGCCGGUGACGAGCCGGAGGAAGGUGGGGAUGACGUCAAGUCAGCAUGGCCUUUAUAUCCAGGGCUACACACGUGCUACAAUGGCCGGUACAAAGGGUCGCAAUACCGCGAGGUGGAGCUAAUCCCAAAAAGCCGGUCUCAGUUCGGAUUGGAGUCUGCAACUCGACUCCAUGAAGUCGGAAUCGUUAGUAAUCGCGUAUCAGCGUGACGCGGUCGAAUACGUUCCCGGGCCUU
Molecule: ribosomal RNA, 436 nt
Filed under: uncultured Aminicenantes bacterium
Lineage: Bacteria; Candidatus Aminicenantota
Description: bacterial SSU rRNA
Rfam family: Bacterial small subunit ribosomal RNA
Source: RNAcentral